GUGUUCACUUUGGCAGCACAUAUACUAAAAUCAGAAUGAUACAGAGAAGAUUAGCAUGGCCCUGUGCAAGGAUGACAUGCAAAUUCAGGAAGCAUUCCAUAUUUUA
Marmota flaviventris (yellow-bellied marmot) is the source of this 106-nucleotide small nuclear RNA. The record is from RefSeq and is a predicted model, not a curated record. Lineage: Eukaryota; Metazoa; Chordata; Mammalia; Rodentia; Sciuridae.